RNAcentral lists this ribosomal RNA (350 nucleotides) under uncultured Neisseriaceae bacterium. RNAcentral describes it as "bacterial SSU rRNA". It matches the Rfam family "Bacterial small subunit ribosomal RNA", at positions 790 to 1144 of the family's 1533-position model. The record is from RNAcentral. Lineage: Bacteria; Pseudomonadati; Pseudomonadota; Betaproteobacteria; Neisseriales; Neisseriaceae.
GUAGUCCACGCCCUAAACGAUGUCUACUUGCUGUUGGGGGUAAAACCUUAGUAGCGAAGCUAACGCGAGAAGUAGACCGCCUGGGGAGUACGGUCGCAAGAUUAAAACUCAAAGGAAUUGACGGGGACCCGCACAAGCGGUGGAUGAUGUGGAUUAAUUCGAUGCAACGCGAAGAACCUUACCUGCUCUUGACAUGCUAGGAAGAUUUCAGAGAUGAGAUUGUGCCUUCGGGAACCUAGACACAGGUGCUGCAUGGCUGUCGUCAGCUCGUGUCGUGAGAUGUUGUCUUAAGUGACGCAACGAGCGCAACCCUUACUACUAGUUGCCCUAAUUAAGUUUGGAACUCUAGU